GUGCCAGCCGCCGCGGUAAUUCCAGCUCCAAUAGCGUAUAUUAAAGUUGUUGUGGUUAAAAAGCUCGUAGUUGAACCUUGGGCCUGGCUGGCCGGUCCGCCUCACCGCGUGCACUGGUCCGGCCGGGCCUUUCCCUCUGUGGAACCCCAUACCCUUCACUGGGCGUGGCGGGGAAACAGGACAUUUACUUUGAAAAAAUUAGAGUGCCCCAGGCAGGCCUAUGCUCGAAUACAUUAGCAUGGAAUAAUAAAAUAGGACGCGCGGUUCUAUUUUGUUGGUUUAUAGGACCGCCGUAAUGAUUAAUAGGGACAGUCGGGGGCAUCAGUAUUCAACUGUCAGAGGUGAAAUUCUUGGAUCAGUUGAAGACUAACUACUGCGAAAGCAUUUGCCAAGGAUGUUUUCAUUAAUCAGGAACGAAAGUUAGGGGAUCGAAGACGAUCAGAUACCGUCGUAGUCUUAACCAUAAACUAUGCCGACUAGGGAUCGGACGGUGUUAUUCAUGACCCGUUCGGCACCUUACGAGAAAUCAAAGUGCUUGGGCUCCAGGGGGAGUAUGGUCGCAAGGCUGAAACUUAAAGAAAUUGACGGAAGGGCACCACCAGGGGUGGAGCCUGCGGCUUAAUUUGACUCAACACGGGGAAACUCACCAGGUCCAGACACAAUAAGGAUUGACAGAUUGAGAGCUCUUUCUUGAUUUUGUGGGUGGUGGUGCAUGGCCGUUCUUAGUUGGUGGGGUGACUUGUCUGCUUAAUUGCGAUAACGAACGAGACCUUAACCUGCUAAAUAGCCCGCAUUGCUCCGGCAGUGCGCUGGCUUCUUAGAGGGACUUUUCG
RNAcentral lists this ribosomal RNA (833 nucleotides) under uncultured Ascomycota. Its description in RNAcentral is "SSU rRNA". It matches the Rfam family "Eukaryotic small subunit ribosomal RNA", at positions 564 to 1426 of the family's 1831-position model. The record is from RNAcentral. Lineage: Eukaryota; Fungi; Ascomycota.